Molecule: small RNA, 371 nt
Filed under: Pan troglodytes (chimpanzee)
Lineage: Eukaryota; Metazoa; Chordata; Mammalia; Primates; Hominidae
Description: retained intron
Source: RNAcentral
GUCGAGGAUGUCGGUGAAUUACGCGGCGGGGCUGUCGCCGUACGCGGACAAGGGCAAGUGCGGCCUCCCGGAGAUCUUCGACCCCCCGGAGGAGCUGGAGCGGAAGGUGUGGGAACUGGCGAGGCUGGUCUGGCAGUCUUCCAAUGUGGUGUUCCACACGGGUGCCGGCAUCAGCACUGCCUCUGGCAUUCCCGACUUCAGGUCUGUGAUUGUGCAGGGGAAGUCGAGGCAAGGCCUACCAGGCUGCCAGAGGCUUCCCUGCGAGCCACACACAUCUGGGAAUGAGAACCCAUCCAUCUGCUUUCCUCCUGGAUGUGUCCUGGGUACUCCCUUUAAGAUGUGUCCCUUGGCUGGGCAUGGUGGAUCACAAG